GACGGAGGGUGCUGGCGUUGUUCGGAAUCACUGGGCGUAAAGGGCGCGUAGGCGGCCUUGCAAGUCGGUUGGUGAAAGCCCGGGGCUCAACCCCGGAGGUGCGGCCGAGACUGCAGGGCUGGAGGCCGGAAGAGGAGGGUGGAAUACCCAGUGUAGAGGUGAAAUUCGUAGAUAUUGGGUGGAACACCGGUGGCGAAAGCGGCUCUCUGGUCCGGACCUGACGCUGAGGCGCGAAAGCGUGGGGAGCAAACAGG
Molecule: ribosomal RNA, 254 nt
Filed under: uncultured bacterium
Lineage: Bacteria
Description: partial 16S ribosomal RNA
Rfam family: Bacterial small subunit ribosomal RNA
Source: RNAcentral